ACCGCGCGCUGCUCCCUGAAAGGGCAAAGCGGCGUCGGGCGCUGCAGCGCCCUAUGGACACAUCUCCGUGGGACAGGGUGGCCCAGGGAAGCUGCUGGAGCACUUGGGGAGGGGGCUUGCAGGAGGAAAGGGCAGGGCCAUUCGUGCGGGGGGGGCUGUAAGAGGGAACCAGAGCCACCCAGGACACUAAGGAGUUGCAAGAGGGGAGGCGCGGGGGACCACGGAGUGUGUGUGGAGGGGAGGGGGGUUGUCACGAGAGCCCAGCACCAGAUUUCAGAAGGGAUGAGGGCGAAGGAGGGAGCAGCUCUUGGCGCCCAGGAAGGAUCAGGUUAAAACUCCUACAUCUGGGACUCCCUGGUUCAGCAAUAUCUGUGGUCUAGCAGGACCACAGAUGUUGCUGAACCAUACAGCGCCAGUGGCUGAGAGUGAGAGUCGGCCUGGAGCUGGGAGCCUCAGUCUGGGCAGGAAGCGGCGGGGCAGAAUUAGCAGGACCAGGAAGCCCCAUCCCUGAGGAGCCCUAGCCAGAAUCACUCCUGAGAAUGCGGCUUCAUUCAUCUUAAAUUAGAAUAAAGUGAAGAAGAAACAGCUCAAAAAAUUUGUGGGCCAGAUCCUCAGUUGUUGUCAAUUCACAUAAAAUGACUGAAGUCAGUUUACAGCAGUUGAGGCUUUGGCACAUUCAUUUGAACUGAAGGAUUCAGAGAGCCUGGGAUGUACCUGUCAGGCAGCAGGCCACUUGUUCUAGGCAAUUCUAAAAGGUCAGUGUAUAGUUAACUUUUGGCAUUAAUAAUGUCUCCUCUGCAAGCAACAGGAACUGAGUUAUAUCAGCCUUAGUGCUGGUUUAGAACAAAUAGAGAAAAAUAAAGUCCUUAUUUCUGCCUCUCAGAUGUAUGAGGCUUGGAAGAAAGAAUUUAUGUUAUUUAAACACAUUUAUUCCCAAUUGCACCUAUCUACUCACUGGCUAAAUCCAUACAUUGAAAAGCACACAUUUAAAUAGGUAUGAUUCUAAAUUCUAAAACAGAUUUCUUGAACAAUGAAGGCGAGAGUCUCAAAAUCACUCACAACGGGAGCAUAAAUCCUUUUUAACAUGGCUUUUGUUGUAAUGUCUCUUAACUGGACCCUCAGGGGCUAACUUUAGUCAUUGGAUUCUAUUUGUCAUUAGGGAAAUAUCCAAUACAACAGAUUUCCUCUCACAUCUGAGAAAAGAUGAACAACUACUCAAGAUUUCUACAGAAUCUACCAGAGAAGUGAAAACUAACAGUAAUUAUUUUUCCCUAAAAAGAAUUCAAUUAAAGCCAAUUUAAACCAGAACUGUUAAACAAACCCUGCUUAUUCAUAAUCUCCAGCAUUAGCAGCUUUAAGGACUGGCAAAGGGAUCAGAAGUAGUGAGUUUACAGACCUUAAUCACACUGGACAAGGAGAAGUAAUAUUCCUGUCCAAACUUUAGCAAAAAACAUAAUGGCUACAAUAGACUGGCAA
Pelodiscus sinensis (Chinese soft-shelled turtle) is the source of this 1476-nucleotide non-coding RNA. The record is from RefSeq and is a predicted model, not a curated record. Lineage: Eukaryota; Metazoa; Chordata; Testudines; Trionychidae.